Molecule: ribosomal RNA, 301 nt
Filed under: uncultured bacterium
Lineage: Bacteria
Description: partial 16S ribosomal RNA
Rfam family: Bacterial small subunit ribosomal RNA
Source: RNAcentral
CAGUCGCCGCGGUAAUACGUAGGUCCCGAGCGUUGUCCGGAUUUAUUGGGCGUAAAGCGAGCGCAGGCGGUUAGAUAAGUCUGAAGUUAAAGGCUGUGGCUUAACCAUAGUACGCUUUGGAAACUGUUUAACUUGAGUGCAGAAGGGGAGAGUGGAAUUCCAUGUGUAGCGGUGAAAUGCGUAGAUAUAUGGAGGAACACCGGUGGCGAAAGCGGCUCUCUGGUCUGUAACUGACGCUGAGGCUCGAAAGCGUGGGGAGCAAACAGGAUUAGAUACCCGAGUAGUCCCUGUCUCUUAUACA